RNAcentral lists this ribosomal RNA (395 nucleotides) under uncultured bacterium. Its description in RNAcentral is "bacterial SSU rRNA". It matches the Rfam family "Bacterial small subunit ribosomal RNA", at positions 28 to 429 of the family's 1533-position model. The record is from RNAcentral.
GACGAACGCUGGCGGCGUGCUUAACACAUGCAAGUCGAGCGGUAAGGCCCUUUCGGGGGUACACGAGCGGCGAACGGGUGAGUAACACGUGGGUGACCUGCCCUCAGCUCUGGGAUAAGCCUGGGAAACUGGGUCUAAUACUGGAUAUGACUCCACGGUGCAUGUCGUGGGGUGGAAAGCCUUGUGCGGCUGAGGAUGGGCCCGCGGCCUAUCAGCUUGUUGGUGGGGGAUGGCCUACCAAGGCGACGACGGGUAGCCGGCCUGAGAGGGCGACCGGCUACACUGGGACUGAGACACGGCCCAGACUCCUACGGGAGGCAGCAGUGGGGAAUCUUGCGCAAUGGGCGAAAGCCUGACGCAGCGACGCCGCGUGAGGGAUGACGGCCUGGUGUAAC